RNAcentral lists this ribosomal RNA (682 nucleotides) under uncultured bacterium. RNAcentral describes it as "bacterial SSU rRNA". It matches the Rfam family "Bacterial small subunit ribosomal RNA", at positions 44 to 715 of the family's 1533-position model. The record is from RNAcentral.
AUGCUUAACACAUGCAAGUCGAACGGCAGCACAGUCGUAGCAAUACGAUGGGUGGCGAGUGGCGGACGGGUGAGGAAUACAUCGGGACCUGCCCAGACGUGGGGGAUAACGUAGGGAAACUUACGCUAAUACCGCAUACGUCCUACGGGAGAAAGCGGGGGAUCUUCGGACCUCGCGCGGUUGGAUGGACCGAUGUUCGAUUAGCUAGUUGGUGGGGUAAUGGCUCACCAAGGCGACGAUCGAUAGCUGGUCUGAGAGGAUGAUCAGCCACACUGGGACUGAGACACGGCCCAGACUCCUACGGGAGGCAGCAGUGGGGAAUAUUGGACAAUGGGCGCAAGCCUGAUCCAGCAAUGCCGCGUGUGUGAAGAAGGCCUUCGGGUUGUAAAGCACUUUUAUCAGGAGCGAAAUGCCAUUGGUUAAUACCCGGUGGAGCUGACGGUACCUGAGGAAUAAGCACCGGCUAACUUCGUGCCAGCAGCCGCGGUAAUACGAAGGGUGCAAGCGUUAAUCGGAAUUACUGGGCGUAAAGCGUGCGUAGGCGGUUUUUUAAGUCUGCUGUGAAAUCCCCGGGCUCAACCUGGGAAUGGCAGUGGAAACUGGAAAGCUAGAGUGUGUCAGAGGAUGGUGGAAUUCCCGGUGUAGCGGUGAAAUGCGUAGAGAUCGGAAGGAACACCAGUGG